This 56-nucleotide transfer RNA is filed under the name Dryopteris sp. 3525171_FA308. Its description in RNAcentral is "partial tRNA-Leu". The record is from RNAcentral. Lineage: Eukaryota; Viridiplantae; Streptophyta; Polypodiopsida; Polypodiales; Dryopteridaceae.
CCCCAACGAGACAAUUUAGUUAACCCAUUUCAGGUUGUUUGGAUUCACAUAACUUG